AACCCCCAGCUAGGCUGGGGGUUCCGUCAAGCUUCCAGCUUUGAGUCGGCUCUUUUAAUGGCCAGUAACGCUUGUGGUCAGGUAGCAACAAAGCACCUCUGG
Molecule: small RNA, 102 nt
Filed under: Serratia sp. Ag1
Lineage: Bacteria; Pseudomonadati; Pseudomonadota; Gammaproteobacteria; Enterobacterales; Yersiniaceae
Also listed under: 1 other name
Description: Hfq binding sRNA
Source: RNAcentral